AUUGAACGCUGGCGGAAUGCUUUACACAUGCAAGUCGAACGGCAGCACGGGUGCUUGCACCUGGUGGCGAGUGGCGAACGGGUGAGUAAUACAUCGGAACGUGCCCAAUCGUGGGGGGAUAACGUAGCGAAAGUUACGCUAAUACCGCAUACGAUCUACGGAUGAAAGCGGGGGAUCGCAAGACCUCGCGCGAAUGGAGCGGCCGAUGUCAGAUUAGGUAGUUGGUGGGGUAAAGGCUCACCAAGCCAACGAUCUGUAGCUGGUCUGAGAGGACGACCAGCCACACUGGAACUGAGACACGGUCCAGACUCCUACGGGAGGCAGCAGUGGGGAAUUUUGGACAAUGGGCGCAAGCCUGAUCCAGCCAUUCCGCGUGCAGGAUGAAGGCCUUC
This 392-nucleotide ribosomal RNA is filed under the name uncultured bacterium. RNAcentral describes it as "bacterial SSU rRNA". It matches the Rfam family "Bacterial small subunit ribosomal RNA", at positions 30 to 419 of the family's 1533-position model. The record is from RNAcentral.